Molecule: long non-coding RNA, 537 nt
Organism: Triticum aestivum (bread wheat)
Lineage: Eukaryota; Viridiplantae; Streptophyta; Magnoliopsida; Poales; Poaceae
Exons: 3
Source: RefSeq, a predicted model, not a curated record
UGUUCCUCUAAACCAAGGGGUCCUUAUGGCCCUUUUCCUGCAACUGGCACGCAACAUAGCCGAUGAGAUAUCCCUGAAGCUUCAAGGGAUACAAAGGAUGUUAUUACUCAACCCACAUGAUUGGGAGUUAUAGAGGGACUUUAUGCCGCACAUUCCUCAGUACAUGCAGUAAAAUGCAGGAACAAUGGGAAAAUAAAAUAUUAACAGAGGUUGCGGUUGGAGAACCUCAGAAUCAUGCUCUUCUCUGAAAUCCAGUUAGCUGGAGUAAUCCCCCUUUGGAAACAUUGAUAGAAACUCAAUAUUAUCCAAGGAACUUUCAUUCCAUUGGCUCUCUCUGUCCCCUCAAGUAAGCAGGUCAUACAUUAGGAUGCUCAAGUUACAGUGACUUGAUGUAGGCAAGUAACUUUCACACAUUUUCUCUUCCAACCAUCCCAACCCCGCCGAGCUCCUGAUGUUAGGCCCGGGCGUGGGUGCCGUGAGAACCUGACCGUGCCUCACGCGAGAGACUUCCCCGCAUUCGCGUGCCGCCACCAGAGC